GAAGCGUGCCUGAGUUCCAAGGAUUACUUUGAUAGAGUAAAAUACAGAGCAUAAAACCUCUCGCUCCCU
RNAcentral lists this transfer RNA (69 nucleotides) under Microlophus occipitalis. Its description in RNAcentral is "tRNA-Ile". The record is from RNAcentral. Lineage: Eukaryota; Metazoa; Chordata; Lepidosauria; Squamata; Tropiduridae.